This is a long non-coding RNA of Chelonia mydas (Green sea turtle), 1123 nucleotides long. RefSeq lists it as uncharacterized. The transcript is spliced from 6 exons. The record is from RefSeq and is a predicted model, not a curated record. Lineage: Eukaryota; Metazoa; Chordata; Testudines; Cheloniidae.
ACUCUCUGUUCCCUUUCUCCUACAUGCACAGCAACUUGCUAGGAGACUCAGCACGCUCCUGAGCUGCCAAAACUCACAAGGUUUUUGAGCUACACAGAGCUCUUCUUCAGGGAGUUUGCAAAGGUGCAGAAGGAAAAGAAUGUCUAAGUGAGCUUCUCAGAGAUCUUUCCUGUCCCACAAGUGAAGGAAGAUGGAAGAUUCUGGAAGUGAACUGCUGGCUAGGUUGUGUUUUGGUUUCACAGGACAUUGUGGUUACAGUUGGAGACUUCCAUAGGUAUCCUAAGGACUAUGAGAACUUUUGCAGUUUGUUGGCACAGUCUGCUCAUCAGUGAAAUACUACAUCAUACCAAGAGUGGAAGACACAGGAUGCUGGAAGACCCACUGAGAAAGAGGAAGAUGGAAGGUUAAGUGCGGACGGCUUUAUAUUACAGUCACAGGGACCAUGGGGCUCAAAUCCUAGUCCACAAGCUCUUAAGAGGUAGUCAGUCCCAGCCUACCACCUGCUGCUGGAAUAGCUGCUGAACUCUCGCAGAGGACUCCAGUCCUGGAAUCUGCUUGGUGGAACCCUGGGGGUCCUCAUUGGUCCCCAGCCUCUAUUUAACCCAAGCACAGGAAGAGGAAGUUGCCGAUGAUAAUGGGAUCUUCCUGCAUGGCACUGCUUCCUCUAUUAUGCCUGCUCCUAUUGACGAUUUCCUGGUCGGGUUGCCAACCCUCUAGGCUUGUCCUGGAGUCUCCAGGAAUAAAAGAUUAAUCUUUAAUUAAAGAGCAGGCCAUGUGAUGAAGUCUCCAGGAAUUUGUCCAACCAAAGCUGGCAACCAUAACUCCUGGUAACCUGAUCCUACUUGCCUCCUGACAUCUGACUUUCAGUUUUCCCUCUGGUCUGUCUUGGAAUCUGACCUUCUGGUAUCAGACCUGGCCUGACUCCUGUUCUGACCAUGAGGUCAGACUGCCCAUAUCUUAUCUGUGAUACCCAUUCAUGUUGGAUUUGAAAGGUUUCCAGUUGGAGUUUCUCUCUCUAGCUACAUCUAUUCUGAGCCCACUUUUAAGCUAGAUGAUCUGUUUCCUCCUGAUGCUGUAGACCAGGGAUUGGCAACCUUUGGCACGUGGCCCACCAGGGAAAUCC